RNAcentral lists this ribosomal RNA (803 nucleotides) under uncultured bacterium. Its description in RNAcentral is "bacterial SSU rRNA". It matches the Rfam family "Bacterial small subunit ribosomal RNA", at positions 8 to 809 of the family's 1533-position model. The record is from RNAcentral.
AGAGUUUGAUCCUGGCUCAGGAUGAACGCUGGCGGCGUGCUUAACACAUGCAAGUCGAACGAAGCACUUUAUUUGAUUUCCUUCGGGACUGAUUAUUUUGUGACUGAGUGGCGGACGGGUGAGUAACGCGUGGGUAACCUGCCUUGUACAGGGGGAUAACAGUUGGAAACGGCUGCUAAUACCGCAUAAGCGCACAGCAUCGCAUGAUGCAGUGUGAAAAACUCCGGUGGUAUAAGAUGGACCCGCGUUGGAUUAGCUAGUUGGUGAGGUAACGGCCCACCAAGGCGACGAUCCAUAGCCGACCUGAGAGGGUGACCGGCCACAUUGGGACUGAGAUACGGCCCAAACUCCUACGGGAGGCAGCAGUGGGGAAUAUUGCACAAUGGGCGAAAGCCUGAUGCAGCGACGCCGCGUGAGCGAAGAAGUAUUUCGGUAUGUAAAGCUCUAUCAGCAGGGAAGAUAAUGACGGUACCUGACUAAGAAGCACCGGCUAAAUACGUGCCAGCAGCCGCGGUAAUACGUAUGGUGCAAGCGUUAUCCGGAUUUACUGGGUGUAAAGGGAGCGCAGGCGGUGCGGCAAGUCUGAUGUGAAAGCCCGGGGCUCAACCCCGGUACUGCAUUGGAAACUGUCGUACUAGAGUGUCGGAGGGGUAAGCGGAAUUCCUAGUGUAGCGGUGAAAUGCGUAGAUAUUAGGAGGAACACCAGUGGCGAAGGCGGCUUACUGGACGAUAACUGACGCUGAGGCUCGAAAGCGUGGGGAGCAAACAGGAUUAGAUACCCUGGUAGUCCACGCCGUAAACGA